UACGGAGGGUGCAAGCGUUAUUCGGAAUCACUGGGCGUAAAGCGCGCGUAGGCGGGCAUUUAAGUCAGAUGUGAAAUCCCCGAGCUUAACUUGGGAAUUGCAUUUGAAACUGUUUGGCUAGAGUAUUGUAGAGGUGGGUAGAAUUCCAUGUGUAGCGGUGAAAUGCGUAGAGAUGUGGAGGAAUACCGGUGGCGAAGGCGGCUCACUGGACAAAGACUGACGCUGAGGUGCGAAAGUGUGGGGAGCAAACAGG
RNAcentral lists this ribosomal RNA (253 nucleotides) under uncultured bacterium. RNAcentral describes it as "partial 16S ribosomal RNA". It matches the Rfam family "Bacterial small subunit ribosomal RNA", at positions 524 to 776 of the family's 1533-position model. The record is from RNAcentral.